AGCGCACCUUCGGGUGAGCGGCGGACGGGUUAGUAACGCGUGGGAAUAUACCCUUCACUACGGAAUAGCCUCGGGAAACUGAGAGUAAUACCGUAUACGCCCUUUGGGGGAAAGAUUUAUCGGUGAAGGAUUAGCCCGCGUCUGAUUAGAUAGUUGGUGGGGUAAUGGCCUACCAAGUCUACGAUCAGUAGCUGGUUUGAGAGGAUGAUCAGCAACACUGGGACUGAGACACGGCCCAGACUCCUACGGGAGGCAGCAGUGGGGAAUCUUAGACAAUGGGCGCAAGCCUGAUCUAGCCAUGCCGCGUGAGUGACGAAGGCCUUAGGGUCGUAAAGCUCUUUCGCCAGGGAUGAUAAUGACAGUACCUGGUAAAGAAACCCCGGCUAACUCCGUGCCAGCAGCCGCGGUAAUACGGAGGGGGUUAGCGUUGUUCGGAAUUACUGGGCGUAAAGCGCGCGUAGGCGGAUUGGAAAGUUGGGGGUGAAAUCCCAGGGCUCAACCCUGGAACUGCCUCCAAAACUAUCAGUCUAGAGUUCGAGAGAGGUGAGUGGAAUUCCGAGUGUAGAGGUGAAAUUCGUAGAUAUUCGGAGGAACACCAGUGGCGAAGGCG
RNAcentral lists this ribosomal RNA (610 nucleotides) under Yoonia litorea. Its description in RNAcentral is "bacterial SSU rRNA". It matches the Rfam family "Bacterial small subunit ribosomal RNA", at positions 65 to 723 of the family's 1533-position model. Lineage: Bacteria; Pseudomonadati; Pseudomonadota; Alphaproteobacteria; Rhodobacterales; Paracoccaceae. The record is from RNAcentral.